GACGAACGCUGGCGGCGUGCUUAACACAUGCAAGUCGAACGGAAAGGCCCUGCUUUUGUGGGGUGCUCGAGUGGCGAACGGGUGAGUAACACGUGAGUAACCUGCCCUUGACUUUGUGAUAACUUCAGGAAACUGGGGCUAAUACCGGAUAGGAGCUCCUGCUGCAUGGUGGGGGUUGGAAAGUUUCGGCGGUUGGGGCUGGACUCGCGGCUUAUCAGCUUGUUGGUGGGGUAGUGGCUUACCAAGGCUUUGACGGGUAGCCGGCCUGAGAGGGUGACCGGCCACAUUGGGACUGAGAUACGGACCAGAGUCCUACGGGAGGCAGCAGUGGGGAAUAUUGCACAAUGGGCGGAAGCCUGAUGCAGCAACGCCGCGUGCGGGAUGACGGCCUUCGGGUUGGAAACCGCUUUCGCCUGUGACGAAGCGUGAGUGACGGUAAUGGGUAAAGAAGCACCGGCUAACUACGCG
This 468-nucleotide ribosomal RNA is filed under the name uncultured bacterium. RNAcentral's name for it is "partial 16S ribosomal RNA". It matches the Rfam family "Bacterial small subunit ribosomal RNA", at positions 28 to 507 of the family's 1533-position model. The record is from RNAcentral.